Aedes aegypti (yellow fever mosquito) is the source of this 388-nucleotide long non-coding RNA. RefSeq lists it as uncharacterized. NCBI's taxonomy places the organism in Eukaryota, Metazoa, Arthropoda, Insecta, Diptera, Culicidae. The record is from RefSeq and is a predicted model, not a curated record. The transcript has 3 exons.
GACAAAUUGGCCGAGAAAAACCCCCCAUGCCAAAGUGAAUCAUGGAAGUGCCCAAGUAGCUCUGCACCCUAAUUAGUUUUUUUUCUGGAGUGAUGACUAAAGCUGGUAGUAAUGUUGUUUGAGAGGAUUGCUAUUCGGCGUAUGAAUGAGCGGAAAUUGCGAUUUUGAUCUCGACAUCUUGGGCAUCUUCAAUUUGCUCCUCUAAGGACAAAGAUAUUCGCUGAAUUGCUUCCCCGCGGCAACCAUCGUUGGAUACAUCAUCUUCAUUUUACCGGACGUGAAAGUGGGUGAAAUUUUCGCUCUCAAAUUCCUCCAUUUGGCUCCCUCCAGACUGAACAGAUGCGCGGAAAGAGGAUCGUCUCUCUCGUUGUAGUAUAUGCCGCGAUUU